AUGGUGCUCAAAAUUGGGGCAGAGAAGGCAUUCUCGAAUAGGCCAAGAGCCACGGAUGUGCAGCCCAUGGGAAGGAACAAGGCCCCGAAAACUGAAGGCUUUUCCAAGCGCUACAGGUCUUCAGCCCUCCAGGCUGACAAGCUCAUAAUCCCAUUAGCGUCGGGCCUACAAAUCUCUUCCUUCGAAGCAGACCUGCUAGGAAGGGAGUUUGUUCCUAUGAAAAUUUCUAGGGACCAGAAUAGAGUAGCAGAUCAUCUGGCAAAUCAUGAUAAAAUUGAUCAUAGUACGGCUUGUUGGCUUCACAAAGGCCAUCCAUGUAUAGCUGAACUUUUGUCGGCUGAUUGUAACUCCACACUUUUGGAAUAA
RNAcentral lists this ribosomal RNA (366 nucleotides) under Triticum aestivum (bread wheat). RNAcentral describes it as "partial small subunit ribosomal RNA". Lineage: Eukaryota; Viridiplantae; Streptophyta; Magnoliopsida; Poales; Poaceae. The record is from RNAcentral.